Molecule: unclassified non-coding RNA, 345 nt
Filed under: soil metagenome
Description: partial contains 5.8S ribosomal RNA, internal transcribed spacer 2, and large subunit ribosomal RNA
Rfam family: 5.8S ribosomal RNA (bases 1-120)
Source: RNAcentral
GAUGAAGAACGCAGCGAAAUGCGAUACGUAAUGUGAAUUGCAGAAUUCAGUGAAUCAUCGAGUCUUUGAACGCACAUUGCGCCCCCUGGUAUUCCGGGGGGCAUGCCUGUCCGAGCGUCAUUGCUGCCCUCAAGCACGGCUUGUGUGUUGGGCCUCCGUCCUCCUCCCGGGGGACGGGCCCGAAAGGCAGCGGCGGCACCGCGUCCGGUCCUCGAGCGUAUGGGGCUUCGUCACCCGCUCUUGUAGGCCCGGCCGGCGCUUGCCGACACAUCAAUCUUUUUUCCAGGUUGACCUCGGAUCAGGUAGGAAGACCCGCUGAACUUAAGCAUAUCAAUAAGCGGAGGA